Molecule: long non-coding RNA, 889 nt
Filed under: Gossypium barbadense (sea-island cotton)
Lineage: Eukaryota; Viridiplantae; Streptophyta; Magnoliopsida; Malvales; Malvaceae
Description: long non-coding RNA (GBAR_LNC021877)
Source: RNAcentral
ACAUGGCUUCAUCAUCUCCUCUUUCUCCCAUUCUCCUCUCUCUGUUUCUAGUAUUCAUUUGUGGGGUGUCAGCUCAAACGGCUCCCGCCCCUGCCCCCUCUGGCCCCUUGAAUUUCACUGGAAUCCUUGACAAAAAUGGCCAAUACACCUACUUCCUUCAGCUUUUGGCACAGACUCAAGUUGGGAGCCAAGUACAAACUCAACUGAAAACCACCACUGAAGGCUUUACCGUCUUUGCUCCCACAGAUAAUGCCUUCAACAACCUCAAACCUGGUACCGUCAAUAACCUGGACCCACAACAGAAAGUACAACUAGUUCUAUACCACGUUAUUCCCAAAUACUACUCCUUGAACGAUCUCCAAUUUGUUAGCAACCCCGUUAGAACCCAAGCUGGUCAGGAUUUCGGCCUCAACGUCACUGGCCUGAACAACCAGGUUAACGUCUCAAGCGGGGUUGUCGAGACUCAGAUUAACAACGCAUUAUAUCAAAAGAAACCUCUGGCAAUUUAUCAAGCGGACAAGGUGUUGUUGCCUGAAGAGUUUUUUGAAGCUAAAUCCCCAGCGGCUGCACCUUCACCGGCGACAAAGAAAUCAUCAACAGGGUCUAAAUCGAACUCAAGAGCAUCAGCAACCGCAGAUGAGCCAGCUUCUGCUGAUAAUUCAGGCUCAGCCGGAAGGAAUAUGGGGCUGAGAUUCGUUGUUGGGCUUGCAUUGGCUUGCAUGGGAUUUCUCUCAUGAGCGGAUAUAUAUGAAGUUGGUCUGCAUUUUUUACUAUAAAUUUUCGUUUUUCAAAUGGAUCGAUAAGGGUCUGAUUGGUCGUUGAACAUAUUCUUGUUAUCCACAUUAUUUGUAUUUCCAGAAUUUUUUGUUGAUUUUGCUUCUGCGCGCUG